GACUAAAACGAUUUUAAAGACGUUAUCACGUCAAAAAAAACAAAACAAAAAAAAAAUACUAAGUUACUGGAAAAAUAAAUCAUAUUUAUUCAUACGGAUAUCCGUAUGAAUAGACGCAGCCUAUUUUUAAUUUGUCGUUGGUUUUAUAAAUAAGAAUAUUAUGUAUCGUGAAAUUUGCACUAGUUUUAAUAAACUUUUAUGAAAUGGUUAGAACAAUAACUGCUUUGGAUUAAUCUUCCUUUGUACGAUCGCUACAUUUUCCGGAUAAAGAAAAUAAUAUGUUGUCUCGCCACUGACUUAAAUUUACUUAUCUGAUUAAAAAAUUUUAUGCCCGAUCAUGAACCUUUUUUGCUGAUUAUUAUAGUAAAAUGGCGAAUAAGAAGUAAACAAAACAUUAGGUCUGUCAAGGGUCUGUCAAGUGGGAGCAUAGCACAUCUGACGGACAACUUCAACCGAGUAUAUAACGUUUUAAAUGAAACAAUUAUCUAGUAAAUAAUAAGAUUCCGACAUUGGCUGCGGUGCAGUGUGUGUUCGGUGUCACGAACGCCACUAUGGGCUCCUUCUACGUGGGGUUGCUGCUACUGAUGGUAUUGAACAUGAUUUUGCGAUCUGAAGAAGCACAGUCCACUUUUAACUCUAGCAGUGAGUUUGACGAGGAAGAGAGUGACUCUGUUGCUUACAUGGUACCUACACGCAAAGUACACCUUUCUAGUAUGUGAAUAAAUAAAUCAGUUUUACUUAUAAACUGCUUUUACGCCUACCAACUUAGAAUAAAAACCGCCAGAGAAUAAAAUGUAGACUAUGCUUAAUAUGUUAUCGCUCGAGGUUGUGGGAUUAGCGAGAGAAAAAUAUGCGGUAAGAUCUAAAAACAUUGACCUGGCCGAAAGGCGAAUAUGAAGCAGUUUAAAGUUUGAGGUUUUAAGCGAAGUAUGUUCACCGCCAUUUAUAUGGCCAUUUUAGGUUUUGUUAUAUAAAAGCAUUAAAACCGCUCGUCUCCGGCAAUAAUGAAUUGGUAGUGGCUUAUUCUAUGAUAUGAGAGAUCUUUUGAGACACUUUUAAUUUAAUUUAGACGUUUUAAAGCCUCUUUCCGUGAACGGCAGAUAAUAGUUGAGCACGGGGAGGGACAGCGAUGUGCGGGCUCUCUCGUCUCGCUGCGCACGGCGCUGUCAAGUGCGCGAUGCCUGCGGCUUAGCACCCCGCGCGCCACGCUCUGGGCGUUGGCGGCGGCGCUGGUCGUAGGCCACGGAACGGUGCGUGCUGCGGAUGGAGCUCGGCGUGUAAUUCGGGUGGCGUACGCCGGCACCGACUCCGCCGAUCCCGCCAACGACUUAGCUCUCCUCGCCAUCGACGAGCCGUUCGGCGAAAGCGCGCAGUCGCGUCCAAUCCUUAUGGCGACAGCGGCGGGCGUGUGUGACGCGGCGCAGGAUUGCAAUGCGGUGCGCGCACUGUCUCGGAACAACGCGCACGGCGCGCAGGCUUUGCUCUUGCGCGUGAUUAGCGUGCACCGGGCACCACACGCCGUAUGUAACGCGCGCGUGCCUCACUGGGCCGCUCUCAAAGACCGUUCGCUUUGCCUGAAAGGAGAAACACUCUGCGAGGCAAGUAAUGUUGUACUGUUUUCAAAAGUAGAAGAAUUUUAGCUUUAUUUCCGUUCAUUUUAACUUACAAAUUUGAUAAAUGGCUUGGAAAUGGUAAUAUACAGAACAAGUAUAUUUUAAGUGGUCUACAUAGAACGAUGUGGGCGGUGGUGUUGUGUGUGCCGGCCUGCUUUGCGGCGUACUCAGCGCGGUGGGUGCGAACAAAGCGGCGGACGAAAGGUGCGGUGAUACAUUUGGAGCGCUGACUGUAGCGCGUUGGCGUCGCUUUUUGCAUUGUGCCCACACACAGCGACUGUGCGGCAGAGGUGACUGUGCGUCAUUAUGCACGGAGUACUGGUUAGACGGCUCCGACGAGUCCUCUCCGGCCGCAUCACUUGGCUCACCCAUUCAGACUCUCGUGGAAGAUGUUAAUCACGCUCUGACAGCGCCAGUUCGUUCAUCAUCACAUUACAACAAACUUGAGAGGAAGGCUACGCAGCUUUUCGUAACAGACCACAACAGUGGAAGCACUAGCAGCCCUAUGAGUACUGGCAGAAGUACAAGCAGCCGCGCUGCCGUUCAGGCGAGCCCUACGCUGCGACUUCUCUCACGCACGCCGCUCAUUUAUGAACUCAGGCCUUCUGCUGACUUUGAACCCAAUCGAGCCGAUUUUAAGAGGUCCCGCGUGUCGCUCAGCACACUAGCACUGUCCUCAAUGCGCUUGAAGGCGGGCGAGUACGGUGACAACGCGGUGGAUUACGGAGCUCCGCCGGACGAAGCCCUGCCCUCGUCGUCUUCGCUCGUGCCCACCCUUCGGCGAUACGUCUCCAGCCGUCACACGAGCCCUGGUUCCGCUUCGCCUUACCGCCACUGGGUGGACCCACUGGCCCAACCUCAGACUGACACCCAUAAAAAGAAAUUGAAGACAUCGAAUGCCAGUAGCACUAAUGACAUUAACAUUGGAAUUCUGAUUACAAUUCCCACUUUAGUUACUAUAAACAGAUAGAUUUGUAUAAUAUGUACUCUGUAAUGUUCUGAUGCUCAAUAAUAUAUUUGAAAUCC
Long non-coding RNA from Pieris napi, 2639 nucleotides. RefSeq lists it as uncharacterized. NCBI's taxonomy places the organism in Eukaryota, Metazoa, Arthropoda, Insecta, Lepidoptera, Pieridae. The transcript has 4 exons. The record is from RefSeq and is a predicted model, not a curated record.